Molecule: ribosomal RNA, 253 nt
Filed under: uncultured bacterium
Lineage: Bacteria
Description: partial 16S ribosomal RNA
Rfam family: Bacterial small subunit ribosomal RNA
Source: RNAcentral
UACGUAGGGGGCAAGCGUUAUCCGGAUUUACUGGGUGUAAAGGGAGCGUAGACGGCGAUGCAAGUCUGAAGUGAAAGGCGGGGGCCCAACCCCCGGACUGCUUUGGAAACUGUAUAGCUGGAGUGCAGGAGAGGUAAGUGGAAUUCCUAGUGCAGCGGUGAAAUGCGUAGAUAUUAGGAGGAACACCAGUGGCGAAGGCGGCUUACUGGACUGUAACUGACGUUGAGGCUCGAAAGCGUGGGGAGCAAACAGG